UACGUAGGGGGCAAGCGUUGUCCGGAAUCAUUGGGCGUAAAGCGUACCGAUAGGUGGUUGUAUAAGUCAGAUGUGAAAUCUCCGAGCUCAACUCGGAAUCUGUCAUUUGAAACUAUACAACUAGAGGGGCAAAGAGGAAGCUGGAACGAACGGUGUAGUAGUGAAAUGCGUUGAUAUCGUUCGGAACACCAAUAGCGAAGGCGGGCUUCUGGGUGCCACCUGACACUGCUAGGACGAAAGCGUGGGGAGCGAAUGGG
Molecule: ribosomal RNA, 257 nt
Filed under: uncultured bacterium
Lineage: Bacteria
Description: partial 16S ribosomal RNA
Rfam family: Bacterial small subunit ribosomal RNA
Source: RNAcentral